RNAcentral lists this non-coding RNA (80 nucleotides) under Halopiger goleimassiliensis. Its description in RNAcentral is "eL15-Euryarchaeota ribosomal protein leader". It matches the Rfam family "eL15-Euryarchaeota ribosomal protein leader". Lineage: Archaea; Methanobacteriati; Methanobacteriota; Halobacteria; Halobacteriales; Natrialbaceae. The record is from RNAcentral.
CCUGUUCACGCGGCGGUGCAGUCGACGCACCGUUGCCACAGGUAGGGAUGUGAUCCCGAAACUCGGGAUUGAACCAGGAA